This 899-nucleotide long non-coding RNA is filed under the name Eucalyptus grandis. RNAcentral's name for it is "long non-coding RNA (EGRA_LNC000082)". Lineage: Eukaryota; Viridiplantae; Streptophyta; Magnoliopsida; Myrtales; Myrtaceae. The record is from RNAcentral.
GAAGAUUGAAGUGGCCGAAACUUGCUUGAAGCUCUUCUACCGGUCUUCAUUUUAACCGACGACGACGAUCAUGAGAGCUCCCUUAGCUGAUCGGACGGCCGACAGCGACUUAGCUUGGCUCCAUUGAUGAGGUAAUCUCCGAUCCUCCAUAAUGCUGUGAUUCUCGCGAAGGUGAAGCGAAUGUAAAGCUCGUUUUGCUUCGAUUAGGAUCGCUCAUGUUAGAUUCGUGUAUUUGAUUCUGAACUUCACAUGUUAAUUUCGUUUGCGUAGGGUCACGAAUACGAGUUUGAAAUCGCAAAAAUCUGCUCCUCAAUCGGUUGACUGCAAUAUGUUCGACGAAAUUUCUAUGAGGUUUUAAUGCAGAUUAGUUUCGUUCUUUUCGGAAUCCGAAAGUAUGCUGACAUAGAUUAAGUGAUAUUAAUUGAUUUUCAAGUCGCUUAAGCAUGAGUUCUGAUGUUUUCACAAUGGCUGAAUACAUUUCUUAACCAUUAUAAUUCUUCGUUCUGUGCUACGUUGCCGGUGAUUUCCAUGGUAGUGGGCGAUGAGUAUAUGAUGUGGAGUUAUUGUUCUCGACCUUCAGUUCUGGUGACAUUCUUGACCGAGGCUUCUACCGUGUUAUUAGUCUCUCACGCUUGGUUUCCUUGCGAGUCCAUGUACGAGUCAGGGUGGAUUAUAACGGUUAAAGGCAGGUGCUAGAGAUUUUGACCGAUCUCAGUUGUUCGUGUAAGAAUACAAACGGUCGAUGGCUAAGUUUGUCUAUGUGCAGCUUGGAGUCUGGGUGUCUUGAUCUCAAAUCGUAGCUUUGAAACUCAUGUAGUGUUUUGAGUAUAAUCUGGUGGUUCUUGAUCUGUAAGAGGAAAAGGUCAAGAAGGACAAAUAUCAGUGAAUGAAAGAAAACA